RNAcentral lists this non-coding RNA (358 nucleotides) under uncultured Helotiales. Its description in RNAcentral is "partial 18S ribosomal RNA". The stretch from base 13 to 318 matches the Rfam family "Group I catalytic intron". From Rfam's summary of the family: Group I catalytic introns are large self-splicing ribozymes. They catalyse their own excision from mRNA, tRNA and rRNA precursors in a wide range of organisms. The record is from RNAcentral. Lineage: Eukaryota; Fungi; Ascomycota; Leotiomycetes; Helotiales.
AGCUCCGGAGACCUUGCAAUCCCUUAUUAAGGGAGGCAGCACGACAAUAAAUAAAGCUCGCCGCUUGCAAGUCGGCCAUUGGUCGGCAACACAAUCGAAUUGACGGGGACCUCCUAAAGCCUGCAACACCAACCGUCCGGGGAAACUCGGGCGGGGCCCUCACGGGGUGGUAAGAGAGUGCAGGAUGAUGCAAUGGACGAUCCGCAGCGAAGACCCUACCGGCGAGAGCCCACGGGUACCGUUCACAGACUAAGUGAUUGUGGGCGGGGCAUGAGAGCCCUGUCUAAGAUAUAGUCGGUCUCUACCCGAAAGGAUAGGGGAGAGUACGUCCGUAGGUGAACCUGCGGAAGGAUCAUUA